This is a small nucleolar RNA of Tachyglossus aculeatus (Australian echidna), 138 nucleotides long. The record is from RefSeq and is a predicted model, not a curated record. Lineage: Eukaryota; Metazoa; Chordata; Mammalia; Monotremata; Tachyglossidae.
CACCUCUCAGGAUCUCACCUGCAGAGUUUUCAAUACUCUACCAGUCUCGGCUAUGGGAGGGACAGUCAACCAGAGGCAUACCCAUUCCAUUCCUAGCUUGGGCAAUAGCUAGUGAGUAGAAGGCAAUCUCCUACAAAU